CAGGGUAUAACAAAUAUGUAAUUUGAUUACUUUUUUUCUUUGUUACAGAUUCUGUUGCUUUGGCAGUAGAAUGGAUCAGAGAGAACUAAUAAAUAUACAGGCAAAGGAGAUAAAAGUUCUCUGCUUUCAUACAAAUUGGGUAGAAAAUAUCAUUCAAUAGUCACAUUUGCAGAGGAAAAGAGAACAGAUGCAGAAGAGAUAUUUCUUAUCUUUGUUGCUCUGAAAGUUACAGUGAUAACAAUGCCAUUUAUACAUAUAUUUAUCCCAGUACUUACAACUGUGAUUCACUCUAACAUUCUAGCUGUUCAGGCAUGUGGGCAUUUGUUACAAUAAUGGAAGUCUAUUGCCACUCAGAUGUAAGCCACACAUUUCUUUUUUAUUUCUUUUCUGGCUAACAUCCCAAAUCCAUGCAGCAGGUGCUGUCUCGGGAAUGUUACCAUCUAAUAAAAGUACCUCAACAUAAAACAGAGCCAAUAAAAACUCUUUUGCAUACGCUUUUUUCUUCCUAACAGAUGGAAUUCCUAAUAAGACAAUGCCUACACUAUCUAAGAGGAUGAAAACAAACAAGCAGUUUAAAAAGGAAACACAGAUAAACUCUGAUGAAAGUGGAAACUUCUCAGAACCAGGAGAACAGAUUUCUGUAGCAAGAUCACUAGCGGAGACAAUAUUCCUGUGACCACUCGAGCCUGUUAAAUAGGCAGGAUUUAUCCUAGCAGUGCUGUGUGGGGGGCAGCUCUGGGAUCCUAGUUUCCUGAUUCUUUAACCCU
Molecule: long non-coding RNA, 767 nt
Filed under: Coturnix japonica (Japanese quail)
Lineage: Eukaryota; Metazoa; Chordata; Aves; Galliformes; Phasianidae
Description: lncRNA (ENSCJPG00005000078.1)
Source: RNAcentral